RNAcentral lists this ribosomal RNA (1376 nucleotides) under Paenibacillus odorifer. Its description in RNAcentral is "bacterial LSU rRNA". It matches the Rfam family "Bacterial large subunit ribosomal RNA", at positions 1547 to 2925 of the family's 2925-position model. Lineage: Bacteria; Bacillati; Bacillota; Bacilli; Caryophanales; Paenibacillaceae. The record is from RNAcentral.
UCGUUAAGGCUGGGCUGUGAUGGGGAGCGAAAAUUAUAGUAGCGAAGGUCAUGAUCUCACACUGCCAAGAAAAGCCUCUAGCCAGGAGAAGGUGCCCGUACCGCAAACCGACACAGGUAGGCGAGAAGAGAAUUCUAAGGCGCGCGGAAGAACUCUCGUUAAGGAACUCGGCAAAAUGACCCCGUAACUUCGGGAGAAGGGGUGCCCCGGUAGUGUGAAUAGCACGAGGGGGCCGCAGUGAAAAGGCCCAAGCGACUGUUUAGCAAAAACACAGGUCUGUGCGAAGCCGCAAGGCGAAGUAUACGGGCUGACGCCUGCCCGGUGCUGGAAGGUUAAGGGGAGUGGUUAGGGGUAACCCGAAGCUAUGAACCGAAGCCCCAGUAAACGGCGGCCGUAACUAUAACGGUCCUAAGGUAGCGAAAUUCCUUGUCAGGUAAAUUCUGACCCGCACGAAUGGCGUAACGACUUGGGCGCUGUCUCAACGAGAGAUCCGGUGAAAUUUUAAUACCUGUGAAGAUGCAGGUUACCCGCGACAAGACGGAAAGACCCCAUGGAGCUUUACUGCAGCUUGAUAUUGAAUUUGGGUACGAUCUGUACAGGAUAGGUGGGAGCCGUAGAAAUCGGAGCGCAAGCUUCGGUGGAGGCGCCGUUGGGAUACCACCCUGAUCGUAUCUAGGUUCUAACCUAGUACCCUUACCGGGUACGGGGACCGUGUCAGGCGGGCAGUUUGACUGGGGCGGUCGCCUCCUAAAGAGUAACGGAGGCGUUCCAAGGUUCCCUCAGAAUGGUUGGAAAUCAUUCGCAGAGUGCAAAGGCAUAAGGGAGCUUGACUGCGAGACCUACAAGUCGAGCAGGGACGAAAGUCGGACUUAGUGAUCCGGUGGUACCGCAUGGAAGGGCCAUCGCUCAACGGAUAAAAGCUACCCUGGGGAUAACAGGCUUAUCUCCCCCAAGAGUCCACAUCGACGGGGAGGUUUGGCACCUCGAUGUCGGCUCAUCGCAUCCUGGGGCUGAAGUAGGUCCCAAGGGUUGGGCUGUUCGCCCAUUAAAGCGGUACGCGAGCUGGGUUCAGAACGUCGUGAGACAGUUCGGUCCCUAUCUGUCGUGGGCGCAGGAAAUUUGAGAGGAGCUGUCCUUAGUACGAGAGGACCGGGAUGGACGUACCGCUGGUGCACCAGUUGUUCCGCCAGGAGCAUGGCUGGGUAGCUACGUACGGACGGGAUAAGCGCUGAAAGCAUCUAAGCGUGAAGCCCCCCUCAAGAUGAGAUUUCCCAAUUAGUAAGACCCCUUGAAGACGACGAGGUAGAUAGGUUGGAGGUGGAAGUGCAGCAAUGCAUGGAGCUGACCAAUACUAAUCGGUCGAGGGCUUAUCCUAU